GAUGAACGCUAGCGAUAGGCUUAACACAUGCAAGUCGAGGGGCAGCAUGGUCUUAGCUUGCUAAGGCUGAUGGCGACCGGCGCACGGGUGCGUAACGCGUAUGCAACUUGCCUCACAGAGGGGGAUAACCCGUCGAAAGACGGACUAAUACCGCGUACACUCUAUGUUGGGCAUCCAAUGUAGAGGAAAUGAAAUUCGCUGUGAGAUAGGCAUGCGUCCCAUUAGCUAGUUGGUGAGGUAAUGGCUCACCAAGGCGACGAUGGGUAGGGGAACUGAGAGGUUGAACCCCCACACUGGUACUGAGACACGGACCAGACUCCUACGGGAGGCAGCAGUGAGGAAUAUUGGUCAAUGGGCGAGAGCCUGAACCAGCCAAGUCGCGUGAAGGAUGACUGUCUUAUGGAUUGUAAACUUCUUUUAUACGGGAAUAACAAGAGUCACGUGUGGCUCCCUGCAUGUACCGUAUGAAUAAGCAUCGGCUAACUCCGUG
Molecule: ribosomal RNA, 490 nt
Filed under: uncultured bacterium
Lineage: Bacteria
Description: partial 16S ribosomal RNA
Rfam family: Bacterial small subunit ribosomal RNA
Source: RNAcentral